This 512-nucleotide ribosomal RNA is filed under the name uncultured bacterium. RNAcentral describes it as "partial 16S ribosomal RNA". It matches the Rfam family "Bacterial small subunit ribosomal RNA", at positions 28 to 507 of the family's 1533-position model. The record is from RNAcentral.
GAUGAACGCUGGCGGCGUGCCUAAUACAUGCAAGUCGAACGAAACUUCUUUAUCACCGAGUGCUUGCACUCACCGAUAAAGAGUUGAGUGGCGAACGGGUGAGUAACACGUGGGCAACCUGCCCAAAAGAGGGGGAUAACACUUGGAAACAGGUGCUAAUACCGCAUAACCAUAGUUACCGCAUGGUAACUAUGUAAAAGGUGGCUAUACUACCGCUUUUGGAUGGGCCCGCGGCGCAUUGGCUAGUUGGUAGGGUAAAGGCUUACCAAGGCAAUGAUGCGUAGCCGAAUUGAGAGGUUGAUCGGCCACAUUGGGACUGAGACACGGCCCAAACUCCUACGGGAGGCAGCAGUAGGGAAUCUUCCACAAUGGGCGAAAGCCUGAUGGAGCAACGCCGCGUGGGUGAAGAAGGUCUUCGGAUCGUAAAACCCUGUUGUUAGAGAAGAAAGUGCGUGAGAGUAACUGUUCACGUUUCGACGGUAUCUAACCAGAAAGCCACUGCUAACUACGUG